Molecule: ribosomal RNA, 684 nt
Filed under: Clavulinaceae sp.
Lineage: Eukaryota; Fungi; Basidiomycota; Agaricomycetes; Cantharellales; Hydnaceae
Description: eukaryotic LSU rRNA
Rfam family: Eukaryotic large subunit ribosomal RNA
Source: RNAcentral
UCCGCGCUGGACUGUGUACAAGUUUCCUGGAUACGGAACAUCAUAGAGGGUGAGAAUCCCGUCCUUGACACAGACUCCCAGUGCUAUGUGAUGCGCUCUCGACGAGUCGAGUUGUUUGGGAUUGCAGCUCAAAAUGGGAGGUAAAUUCCUUCUAAAGCUAAAUAUUGGCGAGAGACCGAUAGCGAACAAGUACCGUGAGGGAAAGAUGAAAAGCACUUUGGAAAGAGAGUUAAACAGUACGUGAAAUUGUUAAAAGGGAAACGAUUGAAGUCAGUCGCGUUCGUUUGGACUCAGCUUAGCCUCGGUUAGGUGCAUUUCCUUAUGAACGGGCCAACGUCCAUGUUGCCUGCUGGAAAAGGGGUAGAGAAAUGUGGCUUCUUCGGGAGUGUUAUAGUCUCUAUUCGUAUACAGUAUAGUGAUAUGGAGUGGUACAGCAUGCUUCGGCGGUGCUUGUGUUGGCAUAAUGGCUUUAAACGACCCGUCUUGAAACACGGACCAAGGAGUCUAACAUGUCUGCGAGUGUUUGGGUGGUAAACCCGAGCGCGGAAUGAAAGUGAUAGUUGGGAAAUUCGCAAGAAUGGCACCGACGCCCCGAGCUGACCUUCUGUGACGCAUCGGAGGUAGAGCAUAUAUGUUGGGACCCGAAAGAUGGUGAACUAUGCCUGCAUAGGGCGAAGCCAGAGG